ACUAUACAUGCAGUCGAGCGAGCCGAACUAGUUGACUACCUUCGGGUAUGAAGUUAGGGAAGCGAGCGGCGGAUGGGUGAGUAACACGUGGGUAACCUACCCUAUAGUCUGGGAUACCACUUGGAAACAGGUGCUAAUACCGGAUAAAAGGAGAGAUCACAUGAUUUCUUUUUGAAAGGCGGCGUAAGCUGUCGCUAAAGGAUGGACCCGCGGUGCAUUAGCUAGUUGGUAAGGUAACGGCUUACCAAGGCAACGAUGCAUAGCCGAGUUGAGAGACUGAUCGGCCACAUUGGGACUGAGACACGGCCCAAACUCCUACGGGAGGCAGCAGUAGGGAAUCUUCCACAAUGGACGCAAGUCUGAUGGAGCAACGCCGCGUGAGUGAAGAAGGUUUUCGGAUCGUAAAGCUCUGUUGUUGGUGAAGAAAGAUAGUGAGAGUAACUGCUCAUUAUUUGCCGGUAAUCAACCAGAAAGUCACGGCUAACUACGUGCCAGCAGCCGCGGUAAUACGUAGGUGGCAAGCGUUGUCCGGACUUAUUGGGCGUAAAGCGAGCGCAGGCGGAAAGAUAAGUCAGAUGUGAAAGCCCUCGGCUUAACCGAGGAAUAGCAUCGGAAACUGUCUUUCUUGAGUGCAGAAGAGGAGAGUGGAACUCCAUGUGUAGCGGUGGAAUGCGUAGAUAUAUGGAAGAACACCAGUGGCGGAGGCGGCUCUCUGGUCUGUAACUGACGCUGAGGCUCGAA
RNAcentral lists this ribosomal RNA (741 nucleotides) under uncultured bacterium. RNAcentral describes it as "bacterial SSU rRNA". It matches the Rfam family "Bacterial small subunit ribosomal RNA", at positions 48 to 757 of the family's 1533-position model. The record is from RNAcentral.